UGCAGUCGAACGGUAACGCGGGGCAACCUGGCGACGAGUGGCGAACGGGUGAGUAAUAUAUCGGAACGUGCCCAGUCGUGGGGGAUAACUGCUCGAAAGAGCAGCUAAUACCGCAUACGACCUGAGGGUGAAAGCGGGGGAUCUUCGGACCUCGCGCGAUUGGAGCGGCCGAUAUCAGAUUAGGUAGUUGGUGGGGUAAAGGCCUACCAAGCCGACGAUCUGUAGCUGGUCUGAGAGGACGACCAGCCACACUGGGACUGAGACACGGCCCAGACUCCUACGGGAGGCAGCAGUGGGGAAUUUUGGACAAUGGGGGCAACCCUGAUCCAGCCAUGCCGCGUGCGGGAAGAAGGCCUUCGGGUUGUAAACCGCUUUUGUCAGGGAAGAAAUCCUUUGGGCUAAUAACUCGGAGGGAUGACGGUACCUGAAGAAUAAGCACCGGCUAACUACGUGCCAGCAGCCGCGGUAAUACGUAGGGUGCAAGCGUUAAUCGGAAUUACUGGGCGUAAAGCGUGCGCAGGCGGUUAUGCAAGACAGAUGUGGAAUCCCCGGGCUCAACCUGGGAACUGCAUUUGUGACUGCAUGGCUAGAGUACGGUAGAGGGGGAUGGAAUUCCGCGUGUAGCAGUGAAAUGCGUAGAUAUGCGGAGGAACACCGAUGGCGAAGGCAAUCCCCUGGACCUGUACUGACGCUCAUGCACGAAAGCGUGGGGGAGCAA
Molecule: ribosomal RNA, 718 nt
Filed under: uncultured bacterium
Lineage: Bacteria
Description: bacterial SSU rRNA
Rfam family: Bacterial small subunit ribosomal RNA
Source: RNAcentral